CGUUAACGCUGGCGGUAGGCCUAACACAUGCAAGUCGAACGGCAGCACAGUAAGAGCUUGCUCUUACGGGUGGCGAGUGGCGGACGGGUGAGGAAUACAUCGGAAUCUACUUUUUCGUGGGGGAUAACGUAGGGAAACUUACGCUAAUACCGCAUACGACCUACGGGUGAAAGCAGGGGAUCUUCGGACCUUGCGCGAUUGAAUGAGCCGAUGUCGGAUUAGCUAGUUGGCGGGGUAAAGGCCCACCAAGGCGACGAUCCGUAGCUGGUCUGAGAGGAUGAUCAGCCACACUGGAACUGAGACACGGUCCAGACUCCUACGGGAGGCAGCAGUGGGGAAUAUUGGACAAUGGGCGCAAGCCUGAUCCAGCCAUACCGCGUGGGUGAAGAAGGCCUUCGGGUUGUAAAGCCCUUUUGUUGGGAAAGAAAAGCAGCAGGUUAAUACCCCGCUGUUCUGACGGUACCCAAAGAAUAAGCACCGGCUAACUUCGUG
This 492-nucleotide ribosomal RNA is filed under the name uncultured bacterium. Its description in RNAcentral is "partial 16S ribosomal RNA". It matches the Rfam family "Bacterial small subunit ribosomal RNA", at positions 29 to 507 of the family's 1533-position model. The record is from RNAcentral.